RNAcentral lists this transfer RNA (82 nucleotides) under Pseudobdellovibrionaceae bacterium. RNAcentral's name for it is "Bdellovibrionaceae bacterium tRNA-Leu". It matches the Rfam family "tRNA". Rfam says of the family: Transfer RNA (tRNA) molecules are approximately 80 nucleotides in length. Their secondary structure includes four short double-helical elements and three loops (D, anti-codon, and T loops). RNAcentral also lists the same sequence under 2 other names. The record is from RNAcentral. Lineage: Bacteria; Pseudomonadati; Bdellovibrionota; Bdellovibrionia; Bdellovibrionales; Pseudobdellovibrionaceae.
GCGUAGGUGGUGGAAUUGGUAUACACGUAGGAUUAAGGAUCCUAUGGCGCAAGCCUUGGGGGUUCAAGUCCCCCCCUACGCA